Long non-coding RNA from Nomascus leucogenys (northern white-cheeked gibbon), 501 nucleotides. RefSeq lists it as uncharacterized. The transcript is spliced from 2 exons. NCBI's taxonomy places the organism in Eukaryota, Metazoa, Chordata, Mammalia, Primates, Hylobatidae. The record is from RefSeq and is a predicted model, not a curated record.
UUUUAGGUAAUAAAUGAAAAAUGAAAAAAAUGAUAGAAUUAGAACAUCACCACUUUGUAACCCCCAAUGAAUUAAUGGAUUUAGGCAUUAUCAACAGUUUCUAACAUCACAGACAGACAAACAUAUGCCUCCUGAUUGAAAAAACAGAACAUCACCUGUAGUCUUGCCAGUGAGAUCAAACUGAAGUCCAAUUAACCUCUGGAUCCAGCUGCCAAUUUGCAGGAAAUAGAGGACAGAAGCAUCUGUUGAACUGCACCAUGAGUAUACACUCAGCAAAGGCCAAACUGUGGAAAAUGAUACAGGCCAAACAGCCUUUAACAGGAAGUGAUGUUUCUGAAGCACCAAUGAAAAUGAAGUCCUGAAGUCUUGUGCUCAAUAUGUAAUGUUGGAAGUUAGAAAGAAAAAAACAAAACGUGGAUCCAAUCUCAAGGCACUUUUGGUUUAGUGGGAAGAAGUGGAUUAUUUUAAAAGCUACAAAUAAAGUUACAUAAAAGUAGCAAA